Molecule: long non-coding RNA, 303 nt
Organism: Macrosteles quadrilineatus (aster leafhopper)
Lineage: Eukaryota; Metazoa; Arthropoda; Insecta; Hemiptera; Cicadellidae
Exons: 2
Source: RefSeq, a predicted model, not a curated record
AGCAGCUGUAUAGGAUCCAACAUGUGCAAAAUUGUCCUCCUCACUUUGGCCCUGAUGGUUGUCGCCAUCACAGCCCAGGAGUACGGCCAUCACGAGCAUCAUGAGCAUCAUCACGAACCUGCAGAGUCUUACCAGAACUACAACCUCCACGUAGGCCAUCAGGAGGUCAUCAAGAUCCCCGUCAUCAGUCAUAAUCAUGGACAUCACGAAGAACCCCAUAAUCAUGAGCAUGGCUCAUACUAACUGUGAUUUUUAAUUUGUCUUUUAUUUUGUAAAUACAAUAGUUUUCCCUUUAUCCUUAAA